UAUAGUGCUUGCACUAUAGAGACCGGCGCACGGGUGCGUAACGCGUAUGCAAUCUAACCCUAUACAGGGGAAUAGCCCAGGGAAGCUUGGAUUAAUGCCCCAUAGUAUCAUUAAGUAGCAUUACUUGAUGAUUAAAAGAUUUAUCGGUAUAAGAUGAGCAUGCGUCCCAUUAGUUAGUUGGUAAGGUAACGGCUUACCAAGACAGCGAUGGGUACGGGGCCCCUGAGAGGGGGAUCCCCCCACACUGGUACUGAGACACGGACCAGACUCC
Molecule: ribosomal RNA, 271 nt
Filed under: unidentified marine bacterioplankton
Lineage: Bacteria
Description: partial 16S ribosomal RNA
Rfam family: Bacterial small subunit ribosomal RNA
Source: RNAcentral